Molecule: ribosomal RNA, 484 nt
Filed under: uncultured bacterium
Lineage: Bacteria
Description: partial 16S ribosomal RNA
Rfam family: Bacterial small subunit ribosomal RNA
Source: RNAcentral
AUUGAACGCUGGCGGCAGGCCUAACACAUGCAAGUCGAGCGGAUGAAGGGAGCUUGCUCCUGGAUUCAGCGGCGGACGGGUGAGUAAUGCCUAGGAAUCUGCCUGGUAGUGGGGGAUAACGUCCGGAAACGGGCGCUAAUACCGCAUACGUCCUGAGGGGGAAAGUGGGGGAUCUUCGGACCUCACGCUAUCAGAUGAGCCUAGGUCGGAUUAGCUAGUUGGUGGGGUAAAGGCCUACCAAGGCGACGAUCCGUAACUGGUCUGAGAGGAUGAUCAGUCACACUGGAACUGAGAAACGGUCCAGACUCCUACGGGAGGCAGCAGUGGGGAAUAUUGGACAAUGGGCGAAAGCCUGAUCCAGCCAUGCCGCGUGUGUGAAGAAGGUCUUCGGAUUGUAAAGCACUUUAAGUUGGGAGGAAGGGCAGUAAGUUAAUACCUUGCUGUUUUGACGUUACCAACAGAAUAAGCACCGGCUAACUUCGUG